RNAcentral lists this ribosomal RNA (353 nucleotides) under uncultured bacterium. RNAcentral's name for it is "bacterial SSU rRNA". It matches the Rfam family "Bacterial small subunit ribosomal RNA", at positions 8 to 350 of the family's 1533-position model. The record is from RNAcentral.
AGAGUUUGAUCAUGGCUCAGGAUGAACGCUAGCUACAGGCUUAACACAUGCAAGUCGAGGGGAAACGACAUCGAAAGCUUGCUUUUGAUGGGCGUCGACCGGCGCACGGGUGAGUAACGCGUAUCCAACCUGCCCACCACUUGGGGAUAACCUUGCGAAAGUAAGACUAAUACCCAAUGACGUCUCUAGAAGACAUCUGAAAGAGAUUAAAGAUUUAUCGGUGAUGGAUGGGGAUGCGUCUGAUUAGCUUGUUGGCGGGGUAACGGCCCACCAAGGCGACGAGUCAGUAGGGGUUCUGAGAGGAAGUCCCCACAUUGGAACUGAGACACGGUCCAAACUCCGUACGGGAGGCA